RNAcentral lists this ribosomal RNA (390 nucleotides) under uncultured Anaerolineaceae bacterium. Its description in RNAcentral is "bacterial SSU rRNA". It matches the Rfam family "Bacterial small subunit ribosomal RNA", at positions 983 to 1382 of the family's 1533-position model. Lineage: Bacteria; Bacillati; Chloroflexota; Anaerolineae; Anaerolineales; Anaerolineaceae. The record is from RNAcentral.
GACAUACAAGUAGUAGGGAAAGGAAACUGGACCGACCCUUCGGGGAGCGUUGAACAGGUGCUGCAUGGCUGUCGUCAGCUCGUGUCGUGAGAUGUUCGGUUAAGUCCGCUGACGAGCGCAACCCUCGCUGUGUGUUACAAGUGUCACACGGAACUGCCGGUCAUAAACCGGAGGAAGGUGGGGAGUGACGUCAAGUCAGCAUGGCCUUUAUAUCCUGGGCUACACACACGCUACAAUGGGAAGGGACAAUAGGUUGCGAAGCCGCGAGGCGGAGCCAAUCCAGCAAAACUUCCCUCAGUUCAGAUUGCAGGCUGCAACUCGCCUGCAUGAAGUUGGAGUUGCUAGUAAACGCAGGUCAGCCAUACUGCGUUGAAUACGUUCCCGGGGCUU